UCCAGACUCCUACGGGAGGCAGCAGUGAGGAAUAUUGGUCAAUGGCCGCAGGGCUGAACCAGCCAAGUCGCGUGAGGGAUGACGGUCCUAUGGAUUGUAAACCUCUUUUGUCAGGGAGCAAAGGGCGCCACGUGUGGCGUUUUGCGAGUACCUGAAGAAAAAGCAUCGGCUAACUCCGUGCCAGCAGCCGCGGUAAUACGGAGGAUGCGAGCGUUAUCCGGAUUUAUUGGGUUUAAAGGGUGCGCAGGCGGAAUGUCAAGUCAGCGGUAAAAUUUCGGGGCUCAACCCCGUCGUGCCGUUGAAACUGAUGUUCUUGAGUGGGCGAGAAGUAUGCGGAAUGCGUGGUGUAGCGGUGAAAUGCAUAGAUAUCACGCAGAACUCCGAUUGCGAAGGCAGCAUACCGGCGCCCGACUGACGCUGAGGCACGAAAGCGUGGGUAUCGAACAGGAUUAGAUACCCCUGUAC
RNAcentral lists this ribosomal RNA (465 nucleotides) under uncultured bacterium. RNAcentral describes it as "bacterial SSU rRNA". It matches the Rfam family "Bacterial small subunit ribosomal RNA", at positions 330 to 793 of the family's 1533-position model. The record is from RNAcentral.